Hippocampus comes (tiger tail seahorse) is the source of this 1017-nucleotide long non-coding RNA. RefSeq lists it as uncharacterized. The record is from RefSeq and is a predicted model, not a curated record. The transcript is spliced from 4 exons. NCBI's taxonomy places the organism in Eukaryota, Metazoa, Chordata, Actinopteri, Syngnathiformes, Syngnathidae.
AGGCAGGUGGCAGGAACCCAGCCCUGGGCGUCUUCGGAACUCACGAACCACCAGCCUUGCGAGCGCAACAAUAUGAACAAUCAAAGGAGGGGAGAAAAAAAAUGAACACAGCAAACUGUUGCAGACCAAAUUCACACGUGGAGUCACAGAAUGGGGAGACACGGACCGGGAUUCCGGCUGUUUUGGACCAGAGGAAGCAAGCGACGGGAUUGCGGUGGCUGGAAACCCCCCGGUGUCGGCUGCUGGCCUCCCUCCCAGAUUUUCCCUGCCCUUGCUCACUCUUUCAAGGGUAACUGGAGUCAACGAUGACAAUGGAAAGAGCCGGUAGCUGCGAGUGUGUCGACCGCAUGUGUUCCAGAGGUGGUCCGUGAUAAGGAAGAGAAGAUAUAAAAAUACAGAGACGUGACUGAGGUACUAAAAGAAAUGAGGCGGUCGCCUCCAUGAGAAACAAGUCACUGAAAGAGAGUUGUUUCAUUUGCCAACCAGAAGAGGAUGAAACAGCGCCAAAGGCUCACCUGCCAGAGGAUAUGCAGAUCAAUUCACAAAAGAAAACACUUUUCAUGUGUUUCACUGGCUUCAGCGUUGGCUUUGUAUAAGAUCAUGUAGCAUUGAGUUCCUUUGCUCGGAUGAUCCGUCCGUCCAUUUUCUAUGCCGGUUGUCCUCAUUAGAGUCCUGGGUGAACUCGUACCUUUCCCAGCCGAUGUUUAGUUUGUAACGUUGCAUGGGGGUUACGUUUAUUUGGCUGCUCCUUGCACGUAAGCGUUCCCCUUGCCAUAUUUUUCAGUUAGAAUUGAUAUUCAGUUAUAUUUAUCUGCAUGUGCAAACUUAUUUUCUUCACCGUGUUUGUCAGUCUUCAAAGUUAAGGUUGAGUAUAUGCUUUUUGGGUUCCAUAUGAACAGUGGUUAACUUAUUUUUACACUUGUAUCAUUUACGAAAAGUUGAGUGCACAUGUUCCGAGCAGAUGCGUGUACAAAUUUUGUUUUAUUUUUCUGUUUCCUGUUUUAGCAUUGUAUUUAC